CAGCAGCCGCCGCGGGAAUACAGAGGGUGCGAGCGUUAAUCGGAUUUACUGGGCGUAAAGCGUGCGUAGGCGGCUAAUUGAGUCGGAUGUGAAAUCCCCGAGCUUAACUUGGGAAUUGCAUUCGAUACUGGUUAGCUAGAGUGUGGGAGAGGAUGGUAGAAUUCCAGGUGUAGCGGUGAAAUGCGUAGAGAUCUGGAGGAAUACCGAUGGCGAAGGCAGCCAUCUGGCCUAACACUGACGCUGAGGUACGAAAGCAUGGGGAGCAAACAGGAUUAGAUACCCGCGUAGUCCCUGUCUCUUAUAA
Molecule: ribosomal RNA, 304 nt
Filed under: uncultured bacterium
Lineage: Bacteria
Description: partial 16S ribosomal RNA
Rfam family: Bacterial small subunit ribosomal RNA
Source: RNAcentral